GGGAUGCCUUGGAGAACGCAAGCCCACACGCCCAAGCGGCUCCACCUGACCCGCCGCCGCCGCUGUCUCCUCCCAGUGGCCGCGGUGUCUCGCCGCAGCGGCCGCGUACGAGCGGUGGUUGCAGUCCGUCAUCGCCGAGUUCAAUCUCUCGGGGGCCGCCUUCCUCAACCGUGACACCUCCCACGCAGCCUGCGCCGCCCCGCGGUUCACCACAGACAUGGAGGGUGAAGAGUACCGCCGCGGGGUUAGCAGGAAGGAUUCCAGUGCUAUAUUGAAUAUGCUAAGGGCAAAGGGUUCAAUGUUAGAAAGGAAGAGGUGAAAUACUUGCCACGGUUCAGGUGGCUUUAUACGAGCUUUAUACAAGAAUACCAUACAUUGCGAACUUUGAAAGACUGGACUUGAAAAAAACUCAAGGCCCAAAAU
Molecule: long non-coding RNA, 423 nt
Organism: Lolium perenne
Lineage: Eukaryota; Viridiplantae; Streptophyta; Magnoliopsida; Poales; Poaceae
Source: RefSeq, a predicted model, not a curated record